Molecule: long non-coding RNA, 128 nt
Filed under: Oryctolagus cuniculus (rabbit)
Lineage: Eukaryota; Metazoa; Chordata; Mammalia; Lagomorpha; Leporidae
Description: lncRNA (ENSOCUG00000038508.1)
Source: RNAcentral
GUGAACCUCCACACCCUUUCUCUCAAGAGUGUUUGCUACUCAGCAGGAUCCUCAGGCCUCCAGCUAUAGAAAUACGACUUCUGUUUGUAAAAGAUAUUGAACCUGAAGUAGUGACUGGUGGAGACUGA